RNAcentral lists this long non-coding RNA (402 nucleotides) under Daucus carota (carrot). RNAcentral describes it as "long non-coding RNA (DCAR_LNC005442)". The record is from RNAcentral. Lineage: Eukaryota; Viridiplantae; Streptophyta; Magnoliopsida; Apiales; Apiaceae.
AUUGCAAAGAAAAAACCAGUGCCUAAGUUGAAUGCAGACGACUUGCAAAAAAUGAAGAGCCUUUUUUCUAGAGCAAACCCAGGUGUGAAAGUACCAAAGCGCUUUAGGUUGUUGUAUAAACACGCAACAAGUUAUAUGCAAGCUACUGGAGCCUCGAUACAAAUCCCUUGUGAUGCUUAGGUUUUUGGACGUCCAAUAACAAUUUAUUUGUUGAAUGAGAAUGUGGUAGCUUUGCUCGAGUUUCAGAUGAUUGGUCAAGCAGUGAUAACAACCUUUAUGCUGUAAGUAAUAUAAUUUUUUUUGUUUUUCUAUUCUGCAACGAGAGGUAUAUAUUGGAUUCUAAUGCAAAUUUUAUAUCUUAGGCACUUGCAUAUUGAGUUAAGUAAUUCUAAGGAUAUAGAG